GACGAACGCUGGCGGCGUGCUUAACACAUGCAAGUCGAACGGUGAAGCGCCUUCCUUUUUGGUGGGUGUGUAUGAGUGGCGAACGGGUGAGUAACACGUGAGUAACCUGCCCCCUUCUUCUGGAUAACCGCAUGAAAGUGUGGCUAAUACGGGAUAUUCUGGGUCUGUCGCAUGAUGGGUCUGGGAAAGAUAUUGUUUCGGUGGGGGAUGGGCUCGCGGCCUAUCAGCUUGUUGGUGGGGUGAUGGCCUACCAAGGCGGUGACGGGUAGCCGGCCUGAGAGGGUGGACGGUCACACUGGGACUGAGCCACGGCCCAGACUCCUACGGGAGGCAGCAGUGGGGAAUAUUGCACAAUGGGCGCAAGCCUGAUGCAGCGACGCCGCGUGAGGGAUGGAGGCCUUCGGGUUGUGAACCUCUUUCGCCAGUGAAGCAGGCCUGCCUCGUUUGUGGGUGGGUUGACGGUAGCUGGAUAAGAAGCGCCGGCUAACUACGUG
RNAcentral lists this ribosomal RNA (494 nucleotides) under uncultured bacterium. RNAcentral describes it as "partial 16S ribosomal RNA". It matches the Rfam family "Bacterial small subunit ribosomal RNA", at positions 28 to 507 of the family's 1533-position model. The record is from RNAcentral.